AAUGAAUUGCCUGAAAAAGGGCUACCUUGAUAGGGUAAAUUAUGUGGGUAUUACCCCUCAUUCAUUA
Molecule: transfer RNA, 67 nt
Filed under: Nephrotoma quadrifaria
Lineage: Eukaryota; Metazoa; Arthropoda; Insecta; Diptera; Tipulidae
Description: tRNA-Ile
Source: RNAcentral